RNA transcript from Triticum aestivum (bread wheat), 2800 nucleotides. RefSeq lists it as uncharacterized. The record is from RefSeq and is a predicted model, not a curated record. NCBI's taxonomy places the organism in Eukaryota, Viridiplantae, Streptophyta, Magnoliopsida, Poales, Poaceae. The transcript is spliced from 4 exons.
UCAUUCCGCUAGGUCGCACGUCUCCCCCUUUUGCGUGGCGGCUCUUCCCAUGGCGGUCAACCUCUGUCGCGCUCAUCCCCAUUCCUGUACGCUGAUGGGAUCCUGCUUCCCACUGCGCAAGGGCGUCGGUACGGCAGCCUCCCACAACCUGGCUUAGAUUUCGGACGGCACCACAACUUCGGCUGGGGGCCUCAAGCAUCGGCGGUGACGCCAGAGGGCGGUGACAAUGGCAGCGAACCAUCGCUUGUCGGUUGGAUUCCACUUGCCGGUGAUUGAGGAAAUAAAUCGCCAUGCCACUCUUCAGCGGCUACUACUUGCAGGUGAUCUAGGUUGACUGACUCCUGUGUGCUCCCAAGCUAGGAUUAGCAGUUCCAGUAUAAUUUUUGCCUUUGGAUUGUAAGUAAACUCCGUUUGGAUGAGCAUCCUUUUCCAUUGACUAAUAAUAGCCAAUCCAGAUUUGUUUGAUCUGUCUGCAUUUUCCGGUAUAUACUUUACAUAUAGAGGUUCUCGGUGUACGUAUAGGACCAAUAGUAUAAUAGUUGUAGAAAUUCUAUAGCCGUCUGCUAUUGCAAGAUAAUGGAUUCAGGAGAGCCAAUUAUAAUUGGGAUAAUUAAAAUAGGCAGAAGGCAUUGGUAAUCUUGACAUGAAGAAACACAUUAUUCUGAUAUGUCCAUGAUAUUUUAGUGCUCACUUUAUUUUACUGAUGUUCCAAUUUUAGCAGUAUGCAGUAAUAUCAUAUACUCUAGACCAAAUUUGAGUUUACCACAUGACAUGUGCUUUGCAGGAUAAAUCGGAGAACAUCUUUGAUGCUCCUUUGAUAGAAUAUAAUGAGAACAACAUGAUAUGUAAGGCAUGUAUUACAUGGAUCUUGAUUCGGAAUUCAGCAAAACAACUCUAUUGAGUACGUGCAAUAAAAUAGUAAAUUGUUGUUCAUGAUCCUACAGUUUCUGAAGUCAAAAGUAGCAGUGUUUCAUCUAAUUGUAUCCUUCAAAGCUAAUAGAGUCCUUCAUAAUCUUGUGUGGGUGUGGUCUCUAUUAGUCACUAUGUAUUCGCUGAGAUUCUUUCAUUUUGUUGAAACUAUAUGUGCAUCUGCUUUUGUCCGUGCCAUGUUAGGCGGCGCUGGAUCAUCUAUGUUGAGGAUGGCUUCACCGACUUGUGCAUCAUCUGAGCUCUGUUUCCCUUUCCUAGGGUUUAACAAAAUCGCAUUUGUUAUUCGUCAAGAGGAGGCCCACAUGCAGCAAGUGUCAAUCAACUGUUGAUUGCAGGAGCAAGGUGUACGGAAAAAAAUUGGAACCAAGAUACUCAUCUGGAGUUUAGUGUUUUAUUGCAUCAACAUAACAAUUCACUGUCUUAUUGCAGGGAUACUGGCUACUUCCCCUUUCUUCCUCUGCCAUCUUCCCAGCAACCAUGGUUCCCAUACCACUGCUCAUUGCGAGGUUCCCAUACUCUCACAGGAACGCUCACUGGCAGCACACAGGCCUUUCCUGACAGUGCCAUGGCACCUCUCUGUAGGUGAGCGACACUGCCAUUUCCUUCCAAGUGUGCCAUAUUUUCUUUUUUAAGUUAUUACAUGCUGAUUUACAGGUUGGUUUAGUCUAUUGUAUCAUGCCUCUAAUUCUGCUCCAUGCUCAAGUCAACAUGACACUUCUUCCCCCAAUUUUUUUCUCAAAUUAUUCUAUGUUAGUUCGGUUUGUCCUAUCAGGCUGAAUGAGCUGUCCACAUCUCCGUGUACAAAGGGUUAGUAUACAUCUACAUAAUCAGAUGCUGGAGGAAAUGUAGCAUAAUAUAUCUAAUCAUAUUAUAUGCUUUACUUACAAUGGUGCCUGCUCAGUGUAGCCAUUUACUCAUGAACUGUAACGUUUCUUUUUACAGAAAAUAGACAAGAUGGGGACAACAAAAUUUCUUUCUCCCAAUUCUGGCACCCCCAUCAAUUGCUUAAUUUUUCAUUACAAUUUUAAUGUCAAUAUUUUUCCUUAAGAAAUUUUGCUAACCGUGGCUUCAUUGCUAAUCAGUUUAUGGUUCACGUACUUGCCCAAAACAUAAUGUUUAGUUGCAGUUGAGCAAACACAACUAGAUCGUGUUAAUGCAUAAGUGAAAUCAACAGUCUUGACGAACCUAGAAUCUAAGGUAUAUAUGCACUGCGAUAUGUUUUACUAGCCUCCUGUUAAAUUCCAAGGACCCUCUUUAUCUUGAGGAUCAUUGUAUAUUGGUAUUUUGUUGCUCUUUCACUAGAAGAUGAUGCCAACUUGUUUUCUAAUUUGUAUAUGAUAAAACUGCAACAUGUCAUAAAAAAGCAGGUUUGGAAGAAUGGUAUUUUUUUAAAGCAAGUUUGGAAGAAUGGUAUUUAUCUAAAUUACGGACAACAAAUGCCAGAAUGGAAUAAAAAGUAAAUAUUCAUUAACACUUGAACACAUUUGUUGGAAUAUAGUGGUUGCUGUAUGAUCUUGAAGCAUGUAUUGCAUUGUAACAAUACAAGGCACGUGCUACUGUUUGACGUGUGAUCUUACAUUGGUAUUAUUAUCCCUGAUUUUCUUUUAGCGACUACUGUAUGAUCUUUGAAGUAUCUAAUCCAACGUUUAUGGAGCAUCAAGUGGCUGGGUUGAGAAGAGAAGUUAUUUGUUGGACCUACAAGGCGCAGAAAUCUAGCUGGCAACAAAAUUAUUUAUAUUUACGAAUGCAGUAAUAUGCAAUACAUAGUGUGUUUUUUAGAAUUACUUGUGUCAUGUUGGAAACAAUGUUGCUGGUGCCUUUACGUGUUACUACUGCUUUAUUGUUCAUGUAUAAUGCCUUCACAUAUUUG